UUUUAAAUGGCUGCAGUAUUUUGACUGUACAAAGGUAGCAUAAUCAUUUGUCUUUUAAUUGGAGGCUAGUAUGAAUGGUUGGAUGAAAAAUAUACUUUCUUUAUUUUAUAUUAAAAAAAUUAACUUUUUAGUCAAAAGGCUAAAAUAAUAUUAUAGGACGAGAAGACCCUAUAGAACUUUAUUUAUUAUUAUUCACGAUUUUUAUAGAUUAGGAUAAAUUUAUGGAUAAAUAUAAAUUAUGUUGGGGUGACAGAAAAAAUAAUAUAACUUUUUCUAUUUUUUUCAUUUAUAUGUGUUGUUUUUGAUCCUAUAUUAUGGAUAGUAAGAUUAAGUUACCUUAGGGAUAACAGCGUUAUUUUCUUUGAGAGUUCUUAUCGAUAAGAAAGUUUGCGACCUCGAUGUUGGAUUAAAAUAAGUGACGG
RNAcentral lists this ribosomal RNA (422 nucleotides) under Liocoris tripustulatus. RNAcentral's name for it is "partial large subunit ribosomal RNA". It matches the Rfam family "Bacterial large subunit ribosomal RNA", at positions 1921 to 2555 of the family's 2925-position model. Lineage: Eukaryota; Metazoa; Arthropoda; Insecta; Hemiptera; Miridae. The record is from RNAcentral.